Molecule: ribosomal RNA, 457 nt
Filed under: uncultured bacterium
Lineage: Bacteria
Description: SSU rRNA
Rfam family: Bacterial small subunit ribosomal RNA
Source: RNAcentral
AGAACGAACGCUGGCGGCAGGCCUAACACAUGCAAGUCGAACGAGAAGCCACCUUCGGGUGGUGGACAGUGGCAGACGGGAGAGUAACGCGUGGGAACGUGCCUUUCGGUUCGGGAUAACCCAGGGAAACUUGGGCUAAAUACCGGAUACGCCCUUCGGGGGAAAGAUUCAUUGCCGAAAGAUCGGCCCGCGUCGGAUUAGCUAGUUGGUGGGGUAAAAGCCUACCAAGGCGACGAUCCGUAGCUGGUCUGAGAGGAUGACCAGCCACACUGGGACUGAGACACGGCCCAGACUCCUACGGGAGGCAGCAGUGGGGAAUAUUGGACAAUGGGCGCAAGCCUGAUCCAGCCAUGCCGCGUGGGUGAAGAAGGCCUUAGGGUUGUAAACCCCUUUCAGCGGGGAAGAUAAUGACGGUACCCGCAGAAGAAGUCCCGGCUAACUCCGUGCCAGCAGCCGC